GGGAUAGUAGUUUAAUGGUAGAAUGCACGGUUGUGGUCCGUAUGACGUAAGUUCGAUUCUUGCCUAUCCCA
This 71-nucleotide transfer RNA is filed under the name Anaeramoeba flamelloides. RNAcentral describes it as "tRNA-His". It matches the Rfam family "tRNA". Rfam says of the family: Transfer RNA (tRNA) molecules are approximately 80 nucleotides in length. Their secondary structure includes four short double-helical elements and three loops (D, anti-codon, and T loops). Further hydrogen bonds mediate the characteristic L-shaped molecular structure. tRNAs have two regions of fundamental functional importance: the anti-codon, which is responsible for specific mRNA codon recognition, and the 3' end, to which the tRNAs corresponding amino acid is attached (by aminoacyl-tRNA synthetases). tRNAs cope with the degeneracy of the genetic code in two manners: having more than one tRNA (with a specific anti-codon) for a particular amino acid; and 'wobble' base-pairing, i.e. permitting non-standard base-pairing at the 3rd anti-codon position. Lineage: Eukaryota; Anaeramoebidae. The record is from RNAcentral.